UUUAAUUUCGAUGCAACGCGAAAAACCUUACCACUUCUUGACAUGGAGGCUAGAUCCUUCUUAACAGAAGGGCGCAGUUCGGCUGGGCCUCGCACAGGUGCUGCAUGGCUGUCGUCAGCUCGUGUCGUGAGAUGUUGGGUUAAGUCCCGCAACGAGCGCAACCCUCAUCCUUAGUUACCAGCGGGUAAUGCCGGGCACUUUAAGGAAACUGCCAGUGAUAAACUGGAGGAAGGUGGGGAUGAUGUCAAGUCAGCACGGCCCUUAUGGGGUGGGCUACACACGUGCUACAAUGGCGACUACAAUAGGUUGCAACGUCGCAAGGCUGAGCUAAUCCGUAAAAGUCGUCUCAGUUCGGAUUGUCCUCUGUAACUCGAGGGCAUGAAGUCGGAAUCGCUAGUAAUCGUGGAUCAGCAUGCCA
RNAcentral lists this ribosomal RNA (418 nucleotides) under uncultured Anaplasma sp. Its description in RNAcentral is "bacterial SSU rRNA". It matches the Rfam family "Bacterial small subunit ribosomal RNA", at positions 945 to 1359 of the family's 1533-position model. Lineage: Bacteria; Pseudomonadati; Pseudomonadota; Alphaproteobacteria; Rickettsiales; Anaplasmataceae. The record is from RNAcentral.